UCCUCGGUGGCUCAGAUGGAUAGAGCGUCUGCCAUGUAAGCAGGAGAUCCUGGGUUCGAGUCCCUGCCGGGGCA
Molecule: transfer RNA, 74 nt
Filed under: Schistocerca americana (American grasshopper)
Lineage: Eukaryota; Metazoa; Arthropoda; Insecta; Orthoptera; Acrididae
Description: tRNA-Thr
Rfam family: tRNA
About the family: Transfer RNA (tRNA) molecules are approximately 80 nucleotides in length. Their secondary structure includes four short double-helical elements and three loops (D, anti-codon, and T loops). Further hydrogen bonds mediate the characteristic L-shaped molecular structure. tRNAs have two regions of fundamental functional importance: the anti-codon, which is responsible for specific mRNA codon recognition, and the 3' end, to which the tRNAs corresponding amino acid is attached (by aminoacyl-tRNA synthetases). tRNAs cope with the degeneracy of the genetic code in two manners: having more than one tRNA (with a specific anti-codon) for a particular amino acid; and 'wobble' base-pairing, i.e. permitting non-standard base-pairing at the 3rd anti-codon position.
Source: RNAcentral